AAAAUUGCAUGUUCUGUAUAUAAAGUGCAGAGAAUCUUGCAACUGUCAUAUCUUCAUAUGGUAUAAACGUUCAUGUCUGCUGGCAGCUGAAAAAAGAGGCAUGAUAGAAAUUGCGAUUAAGGCAAUUUUUUUUUUUAAAGGGGUGUUAAGUUUAAGACAAGUUUAACAUAAUGGUAAUGGCACAGAUUAACUAGGGUGGGGUGUGAGGGUGCAGCAAAUAGGGCAAUGCAUGUAUUACAGACAUAAAGUGAACCAGAUUCUAAGGAUGAGAUU
Long non-coding RNA from Epinephelus fuscoguttatus (brown-marbled grouper), 273 nucleotides. RefSeq lists it as uncharacterized. The record is from RefSeq and is a predicted model, not a curated record. The transcript is spliced from 2 exons. NCBI's taxonomy places the organism in Eukaryota, Metazoa, Chordata, Actinopteri, Perciformes, Serranidae.